UACGUAGGGCGCAAGCGUUAUCCGGAAUUAUUGGGCGUAAAGAGCUCGUAGGCGGUUUGUUGCGUCUGCCGUGAAAGUCCGGGGCUCAACUCCGGAUCUGCGGUGGGUACGGGCAGACUAGAGUGAUGUAGGGGAGACUGGAAUUCCUGGUGUAGCGGUGAAAUGCGCAGAUAUCAGGAGGAACACCGAUGGCGAAGGCAGGUCUCUGGGCAUUAACUGACGCUGAGGCGCGAAAGCAUGGGGAGCGAACAGG
This 253-nucleotide ribosomal RNA is filed under the name uncultured bacterium. RNAcentral's name for it is "partial 16S ribosomal RNA". It matches the Rfam family "Bacterial small subunit ribosomal RNA", at positions 524 to 776 of the family's 1533-position model. The record is from RNAcentral.